Brachypodium distachyon (stiff brome) is the source of this 2084-nucleotide RNA transcript. RefSeq lists it as uncharacterized. NCBI's taxonomy places the organism in Eukaryota, Viridiplantae, Streptophyta, Magnoliopsida, Poales, Poaceae. The record is from RefSeq and is a predicted model, not a curated record. The transcript is spliced from 4 exons.
AAGGUUCCUGUUAUUGUAUUACUUAGUGCACGUAAGAAUUAGUGGUGAAAAACAAUGAAUGUGGUAAACUAAACUUGGUUGUCCUUUUACUUACUUGUCUAGUUAAGUAACUUUAUGAAAUUUGACCUAGGACAAAACUAUAACAUCUUAUAAUUUGGAACAGAAGGAAUGGAAGAUUAUCAUGUUCUGAGAUUUAUUCUGGAUUUCCGAGGAGCAGCAUUUCGAAUAAUAAGAAUAAAUUUCAUAAAACCACACUUUCCUACCCACUUGUCUUGCAGAACCACACUUGUUAAUUUGUCCGUUGCGUCAAAACCAUUCGGACAAAAUGUAACAGUAAACCCAAAACACACGGUUUAGUGAACUUGACGGGAUUUCCGACAGCUGGGUCAGUCGCCACGUCGGAUCCGAUCCGGCCCGACCCGACCCAUUACCCUCCCACUCCCUGCCUCCCCGUCCCAUGGCCGGACUCGGGGAAGAUGGCGACGCAUGGUGACUUGGCCUUGCUGCCGAGAUCCGUGGAGGCGCGGCGAAUCCAGCGGCGUGGUCAAGGAGGCGAGGUGAGGACAGAGGCGGCCGGUCGACGGCAUGCUUGCGGCGGCAAGCGAGCUUGACGGCGCGGGAGAGAUUGGGGCGGCCAGAGUCGAGGGAGGAGGCGGCGCCGUGCUCGCAGCUUCGCAGCGGAGCUGGUGGUGCGGACGGAGAGGCGGGGGACGCAGGGAACCAGUAGCGCACGAAGCGGCGGCGCUCCUGCCGGAGUUGGGGAAGAAGAGCGGCGUCAGGCGAGGGGAUGGCAGAGCAGAUCGCGGACCCAACGUUCAGCGAGAUGGCGGAGCAGCUGCAGACAGCAGCAGCUCAAGGCCCGCGUCGCCGACAUGAAGGAGGACCCGUCGUCCAUGAACGAGAUCGAGUCUGGUGACCCCUUGUAAGCCCCAUCGAUCCACAACACCAAUAUCCAUCGAUCAAAGAAUCUAAUGGCCAACAUGAUAUCACUGGCGGUAUGUGAGAAUGCACAGUCAGCUCUGGAUUUAGCGUCCACGGUCAUGGUAAUAAGUGCUAACUAAAUUACUUUGUAUUCUUUUCUUUACAUACCGUACAUUACUGCAUCUAGUGCAUUCUUGCGUUCUUUAUUUUUUACUUGCGGCUGUUGAAUGACUCCAACUGUAUCAAAUUCAACUUUGUACAAUCCAAUCCAGGAAAUCUCAACAUUAGGCAUCCGUUCAACAGAAAUUUCUCAACAUACAACCAACCAGGUAACUUUCGCUAUAAGAUUCUUCUUUUAUGUGUUUUUCAGGAAUAAACAUGGACAUUCAUUUUUCUCUCCCGAAAAGGUGGUAAACACCCCCGCCUUCUGUAUCAAUUGAUGCAAUGGUAGACGCCAUAUAGUGAUCAUUUUCAAAAUACAUAUGGUUAGGAUGUACGCAACUAUCUUUUGUAACGCUGCCGAGGAAGCCUGCCAUGAGGUGUUCCAGGUGGACACAGUUCUUUCGUUUCUUGGGGCCCUUGGAUCUUUAGGGGCAAUUGCUCAUAUCUUGGUUCAAGAUAAUAUGGAUAAACCGGAAGGAGGUCCUUUGAAAAAUAAGAUUAACCACCAUCAGAUAGAAACGGAUUACCACAAGUUUAAUAAUAAGAUGGGUCUUUUGAAAGAGAGAUUCAUGCUGGGUGCACCAACUGGCGCACACAAGAUGAUGAGCCAGAUACUCGGGAAUGGUUCAAUUCUUGCAGAAUCAUAUGUUUCCAAACUGAUCCAAGAUGCAUUACCUCGUGAUUGAGGCAAAAAAGCUGUUGUGUAUGUUUAAUCAUCUGCGUCUGCCGGCCUCUUCUUGGUGCGAAAGCCUUGCGCAUAGUACUUGGGGGAGAGGAAUCUUCUUUGGUCGAGUCUUUGGGUGUUCCAAUGGCUCCUUUGCUCUGGCAGCGUCAGAAGAGAAAUAUCCCCAAAAAAUAAAGUAGGAUGUCGACAUUGUAAAGGAUAAAUAAUAGUGUUCAAUGAUUUGUCUGAUUAGUAAUUUAGUUGUAUUUGUUUUACCAUGAGAAAUAUGGCUUGUUCAAGAGUUACUCAACUCUAAAAAAGUUUACUUUUGUACUUU